Molecule: ribosomal RNA, 253 nt
Filed under: Anaerotignum lactatifermentans
Lineage: Bacteria; Bacillati; Bacillota; Clostridia; Lachnospirales; Anaerotignaceae
Also listed under: 1 other name
Description: partial 16S ribosomal RNA
Rfam family: Bacterial small subunit ribosomal RNA
Source: RNAcentral
UACGUAGGGGGCAAGCGUUAUCCGGAAUUACUGGGUGUAAAGGGAGCGUAGGCGGCAUGGUAAGUAAGAUGUGAAAGCCUUGGGCUUAACCCGAGGAUUGCAUUUUAAACUAUCAAGCUAGAGUACAGGAGAGGAAAGCGGAAUUCCUAGUGUAGCGGUGAAAUGCGUAGAUAUUAGGAAGAACACCGGUGGCGAAGGCGGCUUUCUGGACUGAAACUGACGCUGAGGCUCGAAAGCGUGGGGAGCGAACAGG